RNAcentral lists this ribosomal RNA (1372 nucleotides) under uncultured bacterium. Its description in RNAcentral is "bacterial SSU rRNA". It matches the Rfam family "Bacterial small subunit ribosomal RNA", at positions 28 to 1381 of the family's 1533-position model. The record is from RNAcentral.
GAUGAACGCUGGCGGCGUGCCUAAUACAUGCGAGUCGAGCGAACGGACGAGAAGCUUGCUUCUCUGAUGUUAGCGGCGGACGGGUGAGUAACACGUGGAUAACCUACCUAUAAGACUGGGAUAACUUCGGGAAACCGGAGCUAAUACCGGAUAAUAUUUUGAACCGCAUGGUUCAAAAGUGAAAGACGGUCUUGCUGUCACUUAUAGAUGGAUCCGCGCUGCAUUAGCUAGUUGGUAAGGUAACGGCUUACCAAGGCAACGAUGCAUAGCCGACCUGAGAGGGUGAUCGGCCACACUGGAACUGAGACACGGUCCAGACUCCUACGGGAGGCAGCAGUAGGGAAUCUUCCGCAAUGGGCGAAAGCCUGACGGAGCAACGCCGCGUGAGUGAUGAAGGUCUUCGGAUCGUAAAACUCUGUUAUUAGGGAAGAACAUAUGUGUAAGUAACUGUGCACAUCUUGACGGUACCUAAUCAGAAAGCCACGGCUAACUACGUGCCAGCAGCCGCGGUAAUACGUAGGUGGCAAGCGUUAUCCGGAAUUAUUGGGCGUAAAGCGCGCGUAGGCGGUUUUUUAAGUCUGAUGUGAAAGCCCACGGCUCAACCGUGGAGGGUCAUUGGAAACUGGAAAACUUGAGUGCAGAAGAGGAAAGUGGAAUUCCAUGUGUAGCGGUGAAAUGCGCAGAGAUAUGGAGGAACACCAGUGGCGAAGGCGACUUUCUGGUCUGUAACUGACGCUGAUGUGCGAAAGCGUGGGGAUCAAACAGGAUUAGAUACCCUGGUAGACCACGCCGUAAACGAUGAGUGCUAAGUGUUAGGGGGUUUCCGCCCCUUAGUGCUGCAGCUAACGCAUUAAGCACUCCGCCUGGGGAGUACGACCGCAAGGUUGAAACUCAAAGGAAUUGACGGGGACCCGCACAAGCGGUGGAGCAUGUGGUUUAAUUCGAAGCAACGCGAGGAACCUUACCAAAUCUUGACAUCCUUUGACAACUCUAGAGAUAGAGCUUUCCCCUUCGGGGGACAAAGUGACAGGUGGUGCAUGGUUGUCGUCAGCUCGUGUCGUGAGAUGUUGGGUUAAGUCCCGCAACGAGCGCAACCCUUAAGCUUAGUUGCCAUCAUUAAGUUGGGCACUCUAAGUUGACUGCCGGUGACAAACCGGAGGAAGGUGGGGAUGACGUCAAAUCAUCAUGCCCCUUAUGAUUUGGGCUACACACGUGCUACAAUGGACAAUACAAAGAGCAGCGAAACCGUGAGGUCAAGCAAAUCCCAUAAAGUUGUUCUCAGUUCGGAUUGUAGUCUGCAACUCGACUACAUGAAGCUGGAAUCGCUAGUAAUCGUAGAUCAGCAUGCUACGGUGAAUACGUUCCCGGGUCU